UGGAGGCCGAGAAAGUGAGGUGGCUCUGUACUGUGCUGCCUUCCACCGGUUAAGUCCUCCGAGAGCAAAUGGCUGCCCAGACAGGUUAUGUCCCUUUGCCACUCUCAGAGGGGCAGCACUGUCCUGGCCAACAUUUG
Heterocephalus glaber (naked mole-rat) is the source of this 137-nucleotide small nucleolar RNA. Ensembl annotates it as small nucleolar RNA, H/ACA box 47. The record is from Ensembl. NCBI's taxonomy places the organism in Eukaryota, Metazoa, Chordata, Mammalia, Rodentia, Bathyergidae.